RNAcentral lists this ribosomal RNA (253 nucleotides) under uncultured bacterium. Its description in RNAcentral is "partial 16S ribosomal RNA". It matches the Rfam family "Bacterial small subunit ribosomal RNA", at positions 524 to 776 of the family's 1533-position model. The record is from RNAcentral.
UACAGAGGGUGCGAGCGUUACUCGGAAUUACUGGGCGUAAAGCGCGCGUAGGCGGCUUUGCAAGUCGGGUGUGAAAUCCCCAGGCUUAACCUGGGAACUGCAUUCGAGACUGCAUUGCUAGAGUAUGGGAGAGGGAAGUGGAAUUUACGGUGUAGCAGUGAAAUGCGUAGAGAUCGUAAGGAAGACCAGUGGCGAAGGCGGCUACCUGGCCCAAUACUGACACUCAGGUGCGACAGCGUGGGGAGCAAACAGG